RNAcentral lists this long non-coding RNA (204 nucleotides) under Elaeis guineensis (African oil palm). Its description in RNAcentral is "long non-coding RNA (EGUI_LNC052992)". Lineage: Eukaryota; Viridiplantae; Streptophyta; Magnoliopsida; Arecales; Arecaceae. The record is from RNAcentral.
UGAUAUAUAAUAAUAGUCUUUCAAUUCUAAAAUUUUACCUGAAAAUAAAUCAAGCAUACGAUUCCCACAGCUUCUGCGCUAAUGGACUCUCCACUUGUGCCAUAAAGCUCAAGGUCACCUCUUUUCGGACCUUUGAUAUUCUGUAGUUGCUAUAAUAAAUUAUAAAUAUAUGACCAUAGGUAAUAUCUAAUACCCAAGUAUUAG